RNAcentral lists this long non-coding RNA (737 nucleotides) under Homo sapiens (human). Its description in RNAcentral is "HSALNT0336094". Lineage: Eukaryota; Metazoa; Chordata; Mammalia; Primates; Hominidae. The record is from RNAcentral.
UGCCUUGGCCUCCCAAAGUGCUGGGAUUAUAGUCAUGAGCCACUGCACCCGGCCCAUCCUCAAAUUUUGGUAUGAGGUGGUGUCCUGGAAUCAAUCCCCCAUGGAUACCAAAGGAUGACUGUACUGUAUUCCUAGCAUGAAUUCAGUAUCAAUCAGGUGAAUCGUGCUCCUUAACAGUCAGGUGAUGACAGAGUUGCAGGAACCAGGAUGGAUGCCAGGUGCUGGAAAAGAGGAGGAAAUCUCAGGAGGCUAGAGACAGCCCAGGCCUCUGCAGCACCCGGGGCUGCGGAAAGAACUGGGGGCUGGAGGGAGAGACAGAAGAAACAAUCGCUGCGCGGCCCAUUACAUUUACAGCACGUCGCCCUUUAAUUGGUGUAACACGCUGAGGCCUGAAAGGAGGAGAGGCCCACAAAGGCGCCCGUGAAUGAGCCUUGACUCACACAAAAACACUCUGCAGAAGUUCAGAGCUGGCCACUAACAAGGAGGUAGGGAGUUAGUUUGAAAAGAGGGUGAAGUUCAGAAAUGUGUCACCUUGAGGAGCCUCCCAUCAAAGCAAUGGUCGCAUUGACAAGCUGCAAAGAAAAAAAGUUAAACCUUCAGGGCUGCGGACUUGCCUGCUGGAUUUAUUCUUAAACUUGAGGAGGGGGGAAGGAGAGGGAGAGUCUUUCUUUUUCUUCUCCUCUUCUCCACCCUUGUCUCUCUGCGCCCCCCCCCACCCCUAUUUACUUCAGAGAGCC